RNAcentral lists this ribosomal RNA (408 nucleotides) under uncultured bacterium. RNAcentral describes it as "partial 16S ribosomal RNA". It matches the Rfam family "Bacterial small subunit ribosomal RNA", at positions 28 to 526 of the family's 1533-position model. The record is from RNAcentral.
GACGAACGCUGGCGGCGUGCUUAACACAUGCAAGUCGAACGGAGUGGCGAACGGGUGAGUAACACGUGGGUGACCUGCCCUGCACUUCGGGAUAAGCCUGGGUAAAUGGGUCUAAUACCGGAGAGUGUGGGAUGGGCCCGGGGCCAAUCAGCUUGGUGGUGGGGUAAGGGACUACCAAGGCGGCGACGGGUAGCCGGCCUGGGAGGGUGGACGGCCACAUGAGGACUGAGACACGGCCCAGACGCCAACGGGGGGCAGCAGUGGGGAGUAUUGCACAAUGAGCGGACGCCUGAUGCAGCGACGCCGCGUGGGGGAUGACCGCCUUCGGGUUGUAAACUCCGUUCACCAUCGACGCGGUAGCUGGAGAAGAAGCACCGGCUAACUCCGUGCCAGCAGCCGCGGUAAUUC